This is a long non-coding RNA of Felis catus (domestic cat), 1022 nucleotides long. RefSeq lists it as uncharacterized. The record is from RefSeq and is a predicted model, not a curated record. The transcript has 3 exons. NCBI's taxonomy places the organism in Eukaryota, Metazoa, Chordata, Mammalia, Carnivora, Felidae.
GUCCGCCAAUGACUUCGAAAGCGCCGCGAGUAUGGACUUGGGGGUUGCAAAUAAAUUUGAGAGAGUAGGAGACUUUGCAAACAUGGAAUCCAUGAAUCAUGAGGCCCGACUUAUAUUCACGGCUGGUUGUUGGGCAUCAAGACAAUCUAGAAGGAUCCAAGAAACCGGAACUUCUCCCUGGAGAGACACAAAUGGCAGGCAGUUUCCUCACAGAAAUGCCGAGACCGCUGUUCUGGAGUCAGAAGACCAGAGUUCAAAUCCUAAACUCCCAUUGGCAAAUUAGCAGAUUGGUGCUCAGGGGCAGAAACUGCCAGAAGUGGACACGAUAAGGAAGAGAGAAACACUGUAUGAACCGUCCGCUGGGAAACCUCCGCAGUCUGGGGCCCUCUGGUGCAGGGACUAACAACCGUAUUUACCCCACUACCCACUACAUCCGGGUUCAUUCACCUUCAUCCCUAAUGAAGAUGGGGAGACACCAUGGAAAGCCUCACCUUGCGUUUAAAAAAAUUUUUUUUAAAUGUUUGUUUAUUUUUGAGAGAGAGAGAGAGAGAGACAGAGUAGAGUGUGAGCGGGGCAGGGGCAGAGAGAGAGGGAGACACAGAAUCCGAAGCAGGCUCCAGGCUCUGAGCUGUCAGCACAGAGCCCGACGCGGGGCUUGAAUCCACAAACUAAGCCUCACCUUGUGUUUUAGCACGUCAUGCACUAGGCAGAGAAAUAAACCGGAGAAUGUAAUUGCUCACGUGACUUGCUCAUUGUUGAGGGAAGAUUUCUGGGCCAGGUGCGCCCCUGCAAGACAGGCCUUCGGCCCCCCAUGGGUCAGUGAAACUCAGGAGGUACCUGAGAGGGACUCUGACUCAGUCCAAGUCCUCCCAUGUGGUUACUGGUAAUGAAGGAGGUGCCCUGCUCUCUGGGGUCUAGCCCUCAAGCAGUUCAAGACCCCAAGAAGAAAAGACAAGUAAUUAUUUAGUGGCCAUCUAAAGCUUAACAAUAUCUGUGGGUAUCAUUAAAGAAGAAAGGGUGUA